This 405-nucleotide ribosomal RNA is filed under the name uncultured bacterium. RNAcentral's name for it is "partial 16S ribosomal RNA". It matches the Rfam family "Bacterial small subunit ribosomal RNA", at positions 29 to 525 of the family's 1533-position model. The record is from RNAcentral.
AUUGAACGCUGGCGGCAGGCCUAACACAUGCAAGUCGAACGAGUGGCGGACGGGUGAGUAAUGUCUGGGCAACUGCCCGAUGGCGGGGGGUAACUACUGGAACCGGUAGCUAAUACCGCAUACCAUCGGAUGUGCCCAGAUGGGAUUAGCUAGUCGGUGGGGUAAAGGCUAACCUAGGCGACGACCCCUAACGGGUCUGAGAGGAGGACCAGCAAACCUGGAACUGGGACACGGUCAAGACCCCUAGGGGAGGCAGCAGUGGGAAAUAUUGCACAAGGGGCGCAAGCCUGAGGCAGCCAGGCCGGGGGGAUGAAGAAGGCCUUCGGGUUGUAAAGUACGUUCAGCGGGGAGGCGUUACCCGCAGAAGAAGCACCGGCUAACUCCGUGCAAGCAGCCGCGGUAAUA